UCGGGAAUUUUGGGCAAUGGGCGAAAGCCUGACCCAGCAACGCCGCGUGAAGGAUGAAGUAUUUCGGUAUGUAAACUUCGAAAGAAUAGGAAGAAUAAAUGACGGUACUAUUUAUAAGGUCCGGCUAACUACGUGCCAGCAGCCGCGGUAAUACGUAGGGACCAAGCGUUGUUCGGAUUUACUGGGCGUAAAGGGCGCGUAGGCGGCAAUUCAAGUCAUCUGUGAAAUCUCCGGGCUUAACUCGGAACGGUCAGAUGAUACUGCUUUGCUAGAGUGCAGAAGGGGCAAUCGGAAUUCUUGGUGUAGCGGUGAAAUGCGUAGAUAUCAAGAGGAACACCUGAGGCGAAGGCGGUUGCUGGGCUGAUACUGACGCUGAGGCGCGAAAGCUAGGGUAGCAAACGGGAUUAGAUACCCCAGUAGUCCCUGAGCGGGCUGGCAAGGCGCAU
Molecule: ribosomal RNA, 446 nt
Filed under: uncultured bacterium
Lineage: Bacteria
Description: bacterial SSU rRNA
Rfam family: Bacterial small subunit ribosomal RNA
Source: RNAcentral